GACGAACGCUGGCGGCAUGCCUAACACAUGCAAGUCGAACGAGACCGUCGGGUCUAGUGGCGCACGGGGGCGUAACGCGGGGGGACCUGCCCUUAGGUUCGGAAUAACUCCCCGAAAGGGGUGCUAAUACCGGAUAAUGUAUUCGGACAAAGGAUUUAUCGCCUUGGGGUGGGCCCGCGUUGGCUUAGCGGGUUGGUAGGGUAAAAGCAUACCAAGGACACGAUGCAUAGCUGGUGUGAGAGGAUGCCCCGCAAGGCUUGGGCUGCGGCACGGCCUAGAAUCGUAGGGGAGGCAGGAGUGGGGAAUACAGGAGGAGGGGCGAAAGUGUGAUCCAGCAAUGUCGCGUGAGUGAUGCAGGGGGUAGGGUUGCAAAGCCGUUUUAGCCGGGACGAUAAUGACAGUACCGGGAGAAUAAGCACCGGCUAACUCCGUG
This 433-nucleotide ribosomal RNA is filed under the name uncultured bacterium. RNAcentral's name for it is "partial 16S ribosomal RNA". It matches the Rfam family "Bacterial small subunit ribosomal RNA", at positions 28 to 507 of the family's 1533-position model. The record is from RNAcentral.